UUUCUAUGUGUAUUGUUACCACUCACAUAAAUGCCUACAUUCCUCUAAGACUUCCAGCUAAAUUCCUCUCACCUCAGUGUAAGCAAAGGAACUUGAAAUUUUAUAUGAUUUAAGGUUAACAACUCAUUAUUUUGCCAAUGUGUAAGUUAAUCAUACCCUAGAUCUAUUUAAUUAUGUAGAUCAUAAACUUCUGCGGACAAUUUUCUCAGUGAUUAUCUUUUCUCAGACCUGCUACAAUGUAAUUAUAAUUUGUGUCAUGAUAGGGUUUUGGUCGAGCAGACAGUUUCCCUUUUUCUGUUGAGCAGAGCAACCUUGUGUUCAACAUUCAGCCAGCCCCAGCCAUGGUCUACGAUUACUAUGAAAAAGGUAGGCAAGCAACAGCCAUGCCCUAAGGUUAUUGAAUGUGGUAUUUAUAUCUAAUAUUCCCUGAGCUACUAAAUUUCCAAAAUCAACCUCCGUCUUCACAGAGUAAACAAUAGAUGGCAUUACUUUGUAUACUGGUUUCUUUAUCCCAUGAUGUGUCUUCUGACUGAACCCAUUUUCCAGUUACCAGAGUUUUUCAACACCAGAAUCCUUGCAAUAUAACCUGACAGGGCUCCACUUGAACUUGAAAUACAAGCCACACUAAGCUUCCAGGUCUUUUUGUUAUUGUCAUUGUUGUUCAUGCUAAGACUGACUGUUCCAAGCUACUUCUGUGGACUUUGACUUAAAGAGAGGAGUGGGGAAUAUUCUGAAAUGCUAACUAACUUAAAAAUUUGAUAGAUUAAUUUCUAAAACAUAUACAAAGAUGUUGUAGAGACCAUACAACUGUUCCCUGGAAGGUUGGUACUAUUUAUUUCUUGUUGAAUGCUGUGUGAAGUUUGUGGAGUGUUUGAAUUCUGUCUCUAUCAUUUACUAAUAGAAUAUAUUUCAUCAAGUGUCUUAAAUAUUAUUAGCAUAUUUCUGGAUGUAUAAAAUGGGAAAGUAAUUGUCUCUAUUUCAAAAUUAUUGGAAGGAUUAGAUCUAAUGUGCUUAUAUCAUCUAUUUAAUAAAAAUACAUGUUCCCUUUAUUUUUUCAGAAGAAUAUGCCCUAGCUUUUUACAACAUCGACAGUAGUUCAGUUUCCGAGUGAGACAAAGCAAUUACUAGAAGAGUUGGAGAAGCAUUUCUUGUAACAAACUGAUUCUUCUGUAUCAAACCUGGAAAAAAAUCAUGAACCAUCUGACAUCGUGAACAGUCUGCAGUGGGCUAUGGUUUCUUGUCAAGUCUUAUUUCCUUAUCAUCCCAUUAAAUGUUGUCAUUUUGCAU
This 1287-nucleotide long non-coding RNA is filed under the name Homo sapiens (human). RNAcentral's name for it is "non-protein coding lnc-KLRB1-12:8". Lineage: Eukaryota; Metazoa; Chordata; Mammalia; Primates; Hominidae. The record is from RNAcentral.